This is a non-coding RNA of Macaca mulatta (Rhesus monkey), 1723 nucleotides long. The record is from RefSeq and is a predicted model, not a curated record. Lineage: Eukaryota; Metazoa; Chordata; Mammalia; Primates; Cercopithecidae.
AGGUCCGGGUCAGAGUCCCUGUGGGUUCACGAAGUGAAACUUCUGUUCGCUGAGCCUCCUAGCAAGGCAGUGUCAGGGCUUUCUGUGACAUGCAAGGGCUCAGGCUUUGUGAGGGGAGUGAGGAUGCCUGGCUAAGAUGAGGACGCUGGGCUCACAGACAUCAGGGGAGGUGCCUGCGGCCUCUUGGAGGAGCCAAGAACACAAAACCCCCAGGUACAAGGUGAGACACCUCAUCUCCACCACCUAAUCGUCAAGUCAACCCUGCGUCUCCCCUCCCUUCACUCAGAGACUGAGGAGGAAGCUGACACAUCCGCCUUGUCCGUAGGGAAGAAAAGGCAACAAAGCUCUCAACCUACAGUUUUUACUAAGUAAUACUGAUGCUAGAGUGAUGGAGACUAAGCUUCACCCAACAAACCCUGGGGCAGCACAGAAUGGGAGGAUGGAACACGAGGCAUUUCUGGCAACAGUGGGGCAGAGAGCUGAGAAGAGCCUGGCCUGGGACCCGUCUUCACUCCUGUCUUCGUCUGCUUGGGCUGCCACAAGAAGAUGCUGCCUGUGAAUCAACGUACGUCUUCACCUCUGGACAUCCGUCUGCCCAGCGGGCAGAGCGGGCAAGCAUGGGCUGUUCCAAGUUCUGGCAGCUGGGAGGAUUUCCCUUCCUUGCAGUUUUUCAGCGACACUCCUGAGUAGGGCUGAAAUGCUGCAGAAGUCCACUUCCAGAUGGCGCCAGAAUAUCAGGUGGUGGCCUGGACCUGCGAGUCUAUUCUAGGUUUGUGGAAUGCAAGUGACCUCGUGGCAUCCUUGUCCAGAGGAUGACACACACGGAGAAGAAAAGCCCAAUCCUUGCAGCUCUGUUGCUGCCUCUGCCCUUUGGAAGGCAGUGCCAGCUGUCCGUCACGAUAGAAACAAUAUCCAAGUGUGCCCUAGAAUGUUGGACCCCAGAACCCUCAUGUAGGUGUCAGGCUCCUGGACUUUAACGGGGUUUACUCCCACCAUCUGGCAUGCGUAUGUCUUGUUACAGCUUCUUCGGUACUGUCUGUUUCCUGCACAGCAAGUGCAUUCUGCAUGAUGUCAUCAGUCUGGCGAACCAGCAUGAUGUCCAUGAUGUCCUAAGUCACCAAGUUCCUUCAGUUUAGAUUAUGUCCUAGCAGGAGAGUUGACACAGCUCUGAAGUACGACAGGAUAUCCUGUUGUCCCUGCUGUGAGUUACAGUGAACUCCUUCUGGUAGUUGCCAGAACAAUAGCUGCAUGUAGUUCCAGGAGCUGUGCUGAUUUUAUCCUCCAGGAGAGAUGUGACAUCUGGAAUAGCAGGUGCCACCACCUGAGCAAGUCUAUAAUAACUCGUGAUCUCUCUCCAAGAUCAAUCUGCCUUUCUGCACAGGACACAGGCAAAUUAAAUGGAAAUGUACAAAGUGUGAUAGAACUCACAGACUCACCACCUCAGUAUCUUUUAAUUUUAUAGAAUCUUCAGGCAAGGGGAGGUUGGUUGCCUCAAUAGGGACACAGAUUCAAAGGAGGCUUGUGGGGAGCUGGGGGUUUGAGGUUCUCAGAUUCAUCUGAGCUCUUAUUCCUAUCUGGGGAUCCCUCUCUUUUUCAAUCAAUACCUUAUUGAUUUCACAUAAGGGAUGUGGCAAGGGUGUGAGUUCAAUUUAUGUUGUAAUUCUUCCAUCCAUGAAACUGGAUUGCAAUGUGGAUUAAAUUUGGGGCUUGAUUUUUAGCUGUA